UGGAUAUAGCUCAACGGUAGAGCAACGGAUUCAUAAUCCGUAGGUUGCGGGUUCGACUCCCGUUAUCACAGCCA
RNAcentral lists this transfer RNA (74 nucleotides) under Paludibaculum fermentans. RNAcentral describes it as "tRNA-Met". The stretch from base 3 to 67 matches the Rfam family "tRNA". Rfam says of the family: Transfer RNA (tRNA) molecules are approximately 80 nucleotides in length. Their secondary structure includes four short double-helical elements and three loops (D, anti-codon, and T loops). Further hydrogen bonds mediate the characteristic L-shaped molecular structure. tRNAs have two regions of fundamental functional importance: the anti-codon, which is responsible for specific mRNA codon recognition, and the 3' end, to which the tRNAs corresponding amino acid is attached (by aminoacyl-tRNA synthetases). tRNAs cope with the degeneracy of the genetic code in two manners: having more than one tRNA (with a specific anti-codon) for a particular amino acid; and 'wobble' base-pairing, i.e. permitting non-standard base-pairing at the 3rd anti-codon position. Lineage: Bacteria; Pseudomonadati; Acidobacteriota; Terriglobia; Bryobacterales; Bryobacteraceae. The record is from RNAcentral.